RNAcentral lists this ribosomal RNA (612 nucleotides) under uncultured archaeon. RNAcentral describes it as "bacterial SSU rRNA". It matches the Rfam family "Archaeal small subunit ribosomal RNA", at positions 554 to 1165 of the family's 1478-position model. The record is from RNAcentral.
ACGUCCUAAGCGUUGGGCUGCGAGAGAAACUGCCGAACUAGAGGGUGGGAGAGGUCAGCGGUAUUCCUGGGGUAGGGGCGAAAUCCAUUGAUCCCAGGAGGACCACCAGUGGCGAAGGCUGCUGACUAGAACACGCCUGACGGUGAGGGACGAAAGCUGGGGUAGCGAAUCGGAUUAGAUACCCGAGUAGUCCCAGCUGUAAACGAUGCAGGCUAGGUGUUGGGUUGGCCAAGCGCCGACUCAGUGCCACAGGGAAGCCAUUAAGCCUGCUGCCUGGGGAGUACGGUCGCAAGGCUGAAACUUAAAGGAAUUGGCGGGAGAGCACCACCAGGCGUGAAGCCUGCGGUUUAAUUGGAGUCAACGCCGGGAAACUUACCGGGAGCGACAGCAGAGUGAAAGCCAGGUUGAAGGUCUUGCUGGACGAGCUGAGAGGAGGUGCAUGGCCGUCGCCAGUUCGUGCCGUGAGGUGUCCUCUUAAGUGAGGUAACGAACGAGACCCGCGCCCCAUGUUGCCAUCAAAUCCUUUAGGGAUGUUGGGCACUCUUGGGGGACCGCAGCCGACAAGGCUGAGGAAGGUGCGGGCAACGGCAGGUCAGUAUGCCCCGAAAAUCG